This 472-nucleotide ribosomal RNA is filed under the name uncultured bacterium. Its description in RNAcentral is "bacterial SSU rRNA". It matches the Rfam family "Bacterial small subunit ribosomal RNA", at positions 28 to 526 of the family's 1533-position model. The record is from RNAcentral.
GAUAAACGCUGGCGGUGUGCUUUAUGCAUGCAAGUCGAACGGGUUCCGCAAGGAACCAGUGGCAGACGGGUGAGUAACGCGUAAGUGACCUGCCCUUAAGUGGGGAACAACUCUGAGAAAUCGGAGCUAAUACCGCAUGAAAUCCUUUUUGUAAAGAUGAAGGAUUAAAGCCGCAAGGCGCUUUUGGAGGGACUUGCGCCCGAUUAGCUAGUUGGUGAGGUAACGGCCCACCAAGGCGACGAUCGGUAGCUGGUUUGAGAGGACGACCAGCCAAACGGGGGCUGAGACACGGCCCCGACUCCUACGGGAGGCAGCAGCAAGGAAUAUUGGGCAAUGGGCGAAAGCCUGACCCAGCGACACCGCGUGGGGGAAGAAGGCCUUCGGGUUGUAAACCCCUUUUCCCGGGGAAGAAUAAUGACGGUACCCGGGGAAUAAGCCUCGGCUAACUACGUGCCAGCCGCCGCAGUAAUAC